Molecule: ribosomal RNA, 468 nt
Filed under: uncultured bacterium
Lineage: Bacteria
Description: partial 16S ribosomal RNA
Rfam family: Bacterial small subunit ribosomal RNA
Source: RNAcentral
GACGAACGCUGGCGGCGUGCUUAACACAUGCAAGUCGAACGGAAAGGCCCUGCUUUUGUGGGGUGCUCGAGUGGCGAACGGGUGAGUAACACGUGAGUAACCUGCCCUUGACUUUGGGAUAACUUCAGGAAACUGGGGCUAAUACCGGAUAGGAGCUCCUGCUGCAUGGUGGGGGUUGGAAAGUUUCGGCGGUUGGGGAUGGACUCGCGGCUUAUCAGCUUGUUGGUGGGGUAGUGGCUUACCAAGGCUUUGACGGGUAGCCGGCCUGAGAGGGUGACCGGCCACAUUGGGACUGAGAUACGGACCAGACUCCUACGGGCGGCAGCAGGGGGGAGUAUUGCACAAUGGGCGGAAGCCUGAUGCAGCAACGCCGCGUGCGGGAUGACGGCCUUCGGGUUGUAAACCGCUUUCGCCUGUGACGAAGCGUGAGUGACGGUAAUGGGUAAAGAAGCACCGGCUAACUACGUG